AUUGAACGCUGGCGGAAUGCUUUACACAUGCAAGUCGAACGGUAGAGGGGGCAACCCCUCGAGAGUGGCGAACGGGUGAGUAAUAUAUCGGAACGUGCCCAGUCGUGGGGGAUAACGUAGCGAAAGUUACGCUAAUACCGCAUACGAUCUAAGGACGAAAGCGGGGGAUCGCAAGACCUCGCGCGAUUGGAGCGGCCGAUAUCAGAUUAGGUAGUUGGUGGGGUAAAGGCUCACCAAGCCAACGAUCUGUAGCUGGUCUGAGAGGACGACCAGCCACACUGGAACUGAGACACGGUCCAGACUCCUACGGGAGGCAGCAGUGGGGAAUUUUGGACAAUGGACGCAAGUCUGAUCCAGCCAUUCCGCGUGCAGGAUGAAGGCCCUCGGGUUGUAAACUGCUUUUGUACGGAACGAAAAGGUCUCUCUUAAUACGGGGGGCUCAUGACGGUACCGUGAGAAUAAGCACCGGCUAACUACGUGCCAGCCGCCGCGGUAA
This 496-nucleotide ribosomal RNA is filed under the name uncultured bacterium. Its description in RNAcentral is "partial 16S ribosomal RNA". It matches the Rfam family "Bacterial small subunit ribosomal RNA", at positions 30 to 523 of the family's 1533-position model. The record is from RNAcentral.